RNAcentral lists this long non-coding RNA (246 nucleotides) under dengue virus type 1. Its description in RNAcentral is "dengue virus type I partial sfRNA2". The stretch from base 160 to 231 matches the Rfam family "Flavivirus DB element". Lineage: Riboviria; Orthornavirae; Kitrinoviricota; Flasuviricetes; Amarillovirales; Flaviviridae. The record is from RNAcentral.
AUGAAGUCAGGCCGAAAGCCACGGCUUGAGCAAACCGUGCUGCCUGUGGCUCCAUCGUGGGGAUGUAAAAACCCGGGAGGCUGCAACCCAUGGAAGCUGUACGCAUGGGGUAGCAGACUAGUGGUUAGAGGAGACCCCUCCCAAGAUACAACGCAGCAGCGGGGCCCAACACCAGGGGAAGCUGUACCCUGGUGGUAAGGACUAGAGGUUAGAGGAGACCCCCCGCACAACAAUAAACAGCAUAUU